UGGCAGCCGUGAGGGCCUGGAGCGUCCGGGCCACGGGAAACUGCCCCGGCCGGGUGAAAGGCAGCUGCUGGAGCUGCCCGUGCCGGGCUGAGCUUUCCGGGAGCGGGGCUCCGCUGGUGUGUCCGGAGAAGGGCGGGAGAGCUGGCGUAGGGUCUGCAGCACAGGUCCUGGGAGGGAGCUGGGCGUGUUCAGCCCGGAGAGAAGGAAGCUCAGCGGGGCCUUGUCCCUCUCCAGAACUCCCUGAGAGGGGGCUGCGGCCGUGGGGUGCCACCUAACCAGCGUCAGGACAAGAGGACGUAGCCUUUAUUUGGGCCGUUAGGAGGAAUUUCUUCGCAUUAGACAUUGGAAUGGGCUUCCCAGAGGCGUGGUGGUGUUACCACCCCUGCGGGUGUUUAGGAAAAGACUGGACGUGUCACUCGGUGCAGUAUUGUAAUUGACAGUCUGGUGUUCACUCAAAGGUUGGACUGGAUGAUAUCAAAGGUCUUUUCCAACCUAAUUGAUUCCGAGAUUCCGUGACUCCUGGGGUCCCUACACCACGCCCCCAGCCCCUAUUCCCACCUAUUGUGAAAAUCGCCGCUGGGUCCAAAGGCAGGGAAGGCCCCUUGGCCCCUGUGCCGCUCAGCCUGCUCUGUACCGAGAGUAAUCUUCUCCUUCACACCAACUUCCAUGGACUAAAUGAAUAAAUACAAGGGCUUUUCUGCAGCUCUACAGAUGUUCUUGGCUUCACUUGUGCCCCCGUGGAGGUGAAUGGAUUUACCCCUGGAGCACAGCAGGUGCUUGACUUAGAACAGGAAUGAUGAGGGGCUGCUGUGACAAGAGACACGUCACAGCCUCGCUGUGCUUGUUAUCUGACACAGCUUCACCAGGACGGAGCAGUUCACAGGGGUACAGAGGCGUCUGACUGCAGUCAAACAGCAUCUAUGUCUGUUCAUAUGGAAAAUGGAAUUCCAGCUAAGCCAUACAGAGAAUGUCUUGUGUGCAGCCCCUGGUCAAGGACUGGAAAUGGAAUUCCAGCUAAGCCAUACAGAGAAUAUCUUGUGUGCAGCUCCUGGUCAAGGACUGAGAGCAGUUCACAGGGGUACAGAGGCGUCUGACUGCAGUCAAACAGCAUCUAUGUCUGUUCAUAUGGAAAAUGGAAUUCCAGCUAAGCCAUACAGAGAAUGUCUUGUGUGCAGCCCCUGGUCAAGGACUGGCUUUUCUCUUGUGGUACACUCUUGUGCUUCAUGGGAACCAAAGAAAGGUGCUGGUGAUACAAUGGAUCCCACUGAAAAAGAAAUUGUGCCACUGACUGAUAUGAGCACGACCUGUCUUCUUACACUUGUUGAUUCUGAAGGCCCGAAGGCAGAGAAACAAUCAGCAUUAUCAUACACGGUGGGAAAGUUCACCUAAAAAGUAACAUUUCAGUAUUUGGAUGAAAACAUCAUGCUGCAAACUGGGAGAUUAUUUUCUGGGAACACUGUAGCAAGCUGUAUACAUUGAGGGCUAAAGCAAUGCUCAGAAGGGCUUAAAAAUGUUCUGUUGAAAAAAUGAGCAUGAAAAUGGCCCCAACAGAAAAUUGGUGUGGGUCCAAUAAUCUUUGUGUAUUUAGUCCAUCCAAGGCCUGGUGAACUAGGUUCAGAAUGAUAACAUUCUGCAGAGGAAGACAGGAAAACUGGGCAAUGUCUAAAAUUAGUAUUUAAGAGAUAUAUGGCCUAGUCAGAAUACUAAUAGCUGCCAAAUGAACAUUUAACAUAUGGAUAAAGUAAUGACCAGUUAGAGAGCUCCCAUUAGAGAUAUAAUAGGAAAUGUAAAUUAAUAUGAGAGUGGAUACUAUGCUAUAGGAGUGAAUAAAUGUACCAAAGGAGAGCCAGAGCCUCGAUCCAAACUGCUGGAUCAUCCAAGCGAACCAGCAUUAAGGCCCCUACGUGCAGCAUUUCCACUGAACUGCUGGAUCAUCCAAGCGAACCAGCAUUAGGGCCCCUACGUGCAGCAUUUCCAUCAACCAUCCUGAAGGCAGUGGCAGAGCAAUCCUGCAAAGCUGAGCAGAUCCAGAGUCCUGCAGGAGGCACUUUGGGGCCACUGGAUGAGCACCGGGGCUCAGCUGUGGUGUGGGAGCAGUGGCACACCAGGACAGAGUCGGUUGGAGGUGCAGAUUUUAAAGAAAGGAUCAAAACAUCAGGUGCUGGAGAAAUAGAGAGGAUAGGAAUGGAAGUUGGCUGUUCCAAGUCUUGGUGGUCUUAAAAACAUUUGAGAAGUUCUGUGUCAAAGAGGGAAGGGCAAACUGGUGCCACCUUCACAAUGUAGUGCAGGGUCAGGGCCUGUGUUUGUGGACACUGAAUUAUGGGUAGCAAAACUGGGCAGUUUUGUGAGAGAAGGCAAAGUUUAACAAGAAGACAAUUUGUAUGAAAAUGGCAAUAAGCAGCUCUUUUCAUUGUUUACAGUGGAAAACAGUUUGGUUUUUUUUUAUACUGUUUAUUCAUUUUUGAAGACAAUUUGUAUGAAAAUGGCAAUAAGCAGCUCUUUUCAUUGUUUACAGUGGAAAACAGUUUGGUUUUUUUUUAUACUGUUUAUUCAUUUUUUUUUCCUUGAAUACAGUGAAAAAGGUAAAUAUGAAAUUAAGGUAUCUUAAAUAAUUCAAAAUUUCGUAAUUUAAAUAUCAAUUUUAUUUAUAAAAAUUUAAAAUGCAGAUCUAUAUUCAUAUUAUUUCCUCAGUUUCUACCUCAUUAAAUAAGAAAGCAACAGAACAUUGAGGACAGUUUCACAGGUUAAGAAAAAAUACAUUUGUCAUAUAUGUGAAAUUACCUUUUUAAAUGUAUAAUAUCUGUAGCUAUUAAACAAAAUUGAUGUAUUACACCAAUAACAGAGCAAUAUAAUAUUCUAAAAUGUGUUUAUAAAUUAUUUAUAUUUAAUAAAAAUUGAUUUCAGCCAUCAUUAUUCUUCUCGAACCUUGUGGCAAGCUGUGCAUUUUACACAGUCCUGCUGAUUUUGAUAAAGCCUGCGCCGUGCACGUUUCCGCUGCUGGAAAUUCGAAUGCAAACUCACAGCCCCUGUACAUUAACCAUGAAGUCUCUCCUCCUGUCCAUUCCUAUCACAUGGAGGAGCUGCUCCGAUCCUUUUCCCAAGGCUCCUGCGGUACCAAGGAGCUGCUCCGAUCCUUUUCCCAAGGCUCCCGCGAUACCGUCCUUUUCCCAAGGCUCCUGCGGUACCACUGGUGAGAUGUCACCUUUUAUUAGCACAUCCACUCUGAGAUACACUAACAUGCAUUGAAAACAUAAAAUGCACAUCAUCCAUCUUUCAUGUGACAGCUGCAUCCCACCUACUGAACUUUCAAGCUCGUGGCACACCUGGGUCAAGGUUCCGUUAAUAAAAUGAUGCUGAGUGACAGAAGAGUGGGAGUUAACUGCCUGCAAGCAUUUGAUAAACUGUUACCUGUAAUUUCUUUGGUUUGUUGCCUUGGGCAAAUGUGCUAAAGAGGAAACAAGUAACUGCAAGCCCCAUUUGUCCAGGUGGGUGAGUGGAGAUGAAGAUGAAAAGCAAUAAACUCGUGUUACUCAGAGCUUUAUGAUUUUCAUCCACUUUGUCAGGGAGCUAUCUUUUGCUCCAUCAAAUAUUGUGAUAGCUAAACUAUUCAAAGAAGGAGAAGACAAAUGUUUCUGUACUUUUGGUAUGUCUGUUGAUACGAUUGCAUGAUUCUAUUGUUUCAUAAGUAACGAAUGCACAUUGUUUCAGUUUAAACACUAAGGUUUUAGUUGUGUCUAGAUAUCAUCACUUUUAUUGUAAAUAAAUAAUAUAUUAAACACAUAAUUUGAGAUAAUUGCUCAAAUAAUAUAUACACAUUAUUAAGUGACACUUAUGACAACACUCAUGUUUUAGUAUUUUGAUAUACUCUUGUCUCAUUCUUGAUUUGUUGCAGCAUUACAAACUUUUAGAAGAGAGUUUUGUAGAUCCUUUCAAGUCAGACUUAUUUUAAAUCAAUUAAAUUUUGGAAAACACUGUUCCACUAUAGUGGUAUUAUAAGACAGUUCGGUCUGGUGACAUAAAUGAAUGGAGCAUUUUCCCAAGAUCUAAUUACAGUUCCAAAGCACUGGGUGUGAUUAUGUACACCAUGUGGGACUGAUGCAUGUUACAAUCGCUGCAUGUGGUUACCAUGUUGUACCUGAGUUCUGCAGUGAGUGCUGCUGCUCACUACAUCCACAGGCAAAGGAGGCAAGGGAGAAAGGAAAAGAGAUUUUCAGAGUUUCCACAAUAACCCCACAGACCUGAUUUUUCAUAUGCAGCAGAAGACUUGGGAAAAAAAGGCAGGAAUGUUCAACUUAGGCUCCUCUCCAGGAUCAGUAUCAUAUGGAAGAGAUAAAAAUACAAGCUGAAAAAGUCAGCAGUUGAUCCAGACUGCAACUGUGUUCUGCUCCUGGAACUAUUCCUGGCUCAGAGAGAGAAAGAUGAAGAAAAGAGAAGUGUCCCAACUCAGAGAUGAGUCAAUGCAGAGUGGAGUGGAAUGCCACACUGGCUCUCUGGGAGCUUGCCACAGCCCAGGUGUUUGUAGGGGUUGAUAGUAGUGCUUGCACAAACCUCUUGAGACCUCUGCCACUGGCUGCUGGAAACAGAAGUGACUUUAAAUCUCAGUCAUUCUGUAUCUGAAUGAACUAAGAUGUAUCUGAAUGAACUAAGACGUAUUCCACAAAGUACUUGGUAGAGAAGAAAACUUUAAGUAGGAAAUUACUCUUCUUGAAAGAACAGAAUUCCUGUUCAGCCUACAAUGUCCUCAGUAAAAAAUAGAAAUUGAAAGCACAAACAGAAUGAAAGUCAAUGUGACCUCAAUAGAGAAUAACAGAGUUAUAAAAAAAAAAAAAAAAAAUUUAAAAAAAAAAAAAAAAAAAAAAAAGAAAAAGAAAAAAGAGCAGAGUUUAACCAUGUGCUCAAACAUAAAGUACAUAAAAGCAAUUCCAUUGACUUCACCAGCACCACUGACGUACUCUGACUGCUGGGAACUCGACCUCAGGAGGCUGUGUACAACCUUCUUAUCAUCAAUCGUCUCUGCAAGGACAGAACAUAAUUAAAUGGGAUCACAUCUAGCAGAGGAAAGCAUAAUGGUAAUCUGCAGUAGUAGUAAAAAGAUUCCCCGGUUAUAAAAUUCCUUAAAUAAUAGCUUCUCUUCUUCCCAGAAAAACAACAUCCUGGCAUUAGAAACGUUCAAGCCAGGUGACCAUAAGAAGAGGCAAACAUGCAUUUUCUUGUUUUGGUUCUUCCCUCAUCACUGCACACAUCUACAUCUGUGCUUGGGUUUUUAUUUUAAGAAUGCAAAGGGUAGAAGGCGAGUGGUUUAUUCCAACAUGCUGUGCCACUAUAGAGCUGAACUGGGGCUGGUUGGGCCGGGAAGUAAUUGGUUACUAAAACCAAUAAAAGAUGGGAGUAUCUUUAAAAGACAUCUAACGUGCUGAUUGUUAAAUUAGGCUGAAAUACAUUAUUAAGAAAGCUUUCAAGUGUCAGAAAUGAAAGAAUGUCUUACAUUCUCCACCAAGGAAAUCUAGAUCUCACCAGAGGGGACAUCCACUGUCAUUAUUCUGCUAUUUUAUCUGUUUUGUCUUUUAUGACAAUUUUGUUGCCAGACCGGGGGGCCCCCCCCCCCCCCCCCCCCCCCCCCCCCCCCCCCCCCCC
Molecule: long non-coding RNA, 5634 nt
Filed under: Ficedula albicollis (Collared flycatcher)
Lineage: Eukaryota; Metazoa; Chordata; Aves; Passeriformes; Muscicapidae
Description: lncRNA (ENSFALG00000023924.1)
Source: RNAcentral